Molecule: long non-coding RNA, 1192 nt
Organism: Poeciliopsis prolifica (blackstripe livebearer)
Lineage: Eukaryota; Metazoa; Chordata; Actinopteri; Cyprinodontiformes; Poeciliidae
Exons: 3
Source: RefSeq, a predicted model, not a curated record
UUCAAAUUGUCAAAUUGCAUAAUUAUAUGGUCAAUGGAAACACAGAUGAAGAUUAAAAGGUUCCUCAAUCAAUCGCUAAUUAUUGAUCUGACCUGCCGAUUCCGAUUUUAGCCAAUACCAAUUUUUGUCUGAAAUUUUGCUCAAUAUAGCAAGAAAGUUGCUGACAUCGGGGUAACUGUUGUUUUCUGUAGACAUGCAGAAGGGCCUGGUCUGUCAGUGAAACCUGUCCGACUCCAGAUCAGAGGACAGAGGCUGAUUUCAGACCUUCACUGAGGUGGAUAAGAUCUGGGAGUAAGAUGGGCUUCACAUGGAAGUAUUUUCCAAUCACUGAAAAAAGCUGAAAAAAGUUUAUUUAACACGACACUGCCCCUUUAAAAACCAGCUGCUUAUCUCUCAUCUCUUCUCCUCUGACAGGCAGCGGCGUUUGCUUCAACCGUCACCGUCAAAGCCACUGCAGCAUCAACUAUCUACCUCAGUGGUUCCCAAAGUGUGGGGCGCGCCCCCCAAGGGUGGCGCAGUGCCAUUGCAGGAGGGGCGCGGGAAGCAGUAUGAAUGAAUGAAGAAAACAAAACAGUCACACAGUUAAAGUGUUUCACUGUAAAGAUGGUUUGUAGUUUGUUGCAACCUGAAGUGUGAAAUAAUCUUCAGUGGAGUUUGAAAACAAAAUACGUGUAAAGGUUUAUGUCUGGUUGAACAAUGUGAGCCCAGUUGGUUCUUUUUUCUUUUGGGGGUAUUUUAUUGUAAUCCAUAGGCCCAGAAAAUCUUUGGGAGCCACUGAUCUACCUGAUGACACACACAUCCACACACACAGCAGGGAUGGAGCGUUGUGCCUCUGUUCCCGCCGUGACGGAUGGAGCUCCUCGCUGAUGAAAUGGUCAACAGCCACACAGACUUUCCUUCCAUUGUCUGCAUGCCAAGCCGAUGUGGUCAUGGAUGCACUUCCCCCAGCCUCUCCAGCUCCAUCCACACACACACACACACACACACACACACACACACACACACACACACACACACACACACACACACACACACACACACACACACACACUCCGCUCUCAUCCAGCAGCCAAUAAGGGCCUGAUGAUCUCAAGUAUCACUAUAGCAGCAGGACUUAUUCUCUGAGUGGAGCCGGCGGAUUCUUACAGACCUUCAUCCUCAUCGCUGAGGGAGCUGCUCUUCCUCUUUUUGG